GGAUCGAUUCAGACAAGGUGGUAAAUUGUAUGACAAGCGACAGUUUAUUCAGAGUGAAGAUAUCUAGAACAGCGUAAUUACGGCUCUCCCGCUGGUUCAUACGGAACUGCAGACAAAAAGAGACCGUUACAAUCAAUACACCACUUAUAUAUAGAACAGAAAGUAGGUUGAUUCUGGAAGAUCGGAUCUUUGGAUUGGUUCAGCUGGGGUGUAGUCUGUAGUCUUCCGCCAUUGGCUCAGUUGUCUGUCCGUCAUCGUAGAAUCCUCUUCGGGCACACAAUGUUCAGCUACAAAGGAGAUUAUGUGUGUGUGCGCUGGUUUUGGCAAUUAGUGUAAUGCGGGAGCUAUCCUGUAGGGGACCCCACAGGCUUUACUUUGAGUCGUAGCCCUGUCCUAACAAUAGUUUGGUCACCUGUAUAAAAAAAAAAUAGCAUUUCUCUACAAAAACUAAACCGAAAGGUGUAUUUCUUCGCCCGGCACCGGUCACUGAGUUAGCAAGCUGAAGUUGGCUAGUGAGUUGUACGUUCAGCCUAUUCAUUAUUUCAGUCCGAUUGGCCUUAAAGUAAAUUAAUCAGCAUGGCUUAACAUAGCACUGUUGGCGGUAUAAACAACCAUUUCGCUACACCCGCUAAACAUGUUUAUGUAAAAUAAAAUGUAUUUUAUUAAUUUCGUUUUUGACCUCGACAAUCUUGCUGGAUAGACACUGAUAGCUAACAUGCUAGCGCUGCUAACUAGCUAAUGCUAAUGGCGCUAGUUAAACUCCUGUUAGGCUGGACACAUUGCAUUUAUAACAAUGCUUUUUUUCUAAUAAAAAGUGGUUCAUUGCAUCCGCGUUGGAGCCCAGUUUCAUAAUAUAUCCCAGCUGCCUGUCGUAGUUGAAGUAAACACGAAAAGGCAGGCCUUAAUUUAGGGCAUUUUAUCACCCUGCCAGCUCCUAUUAGUUCUAUUGAGCACCGUGGUACCAACUCGCCUUCCGAACGUUCGUGUAAUGUGUCCAGCCUAACAGGAGUUCAGCUAGCGCCGUUAGCAUUAGCUAGUUAGCAGCGCUAGCCAUCAGUAUCUCCAGCAAGAAAGUACAACAAAUGGGACAAUGGUAGUUUCGCUAUAGUUGGCAAUGGAGACCUGCUCACGUUAAGUUAAAAUGUAAACAACAAAUUACUCAUGUUACUCGAGGUCGUCCCAUUGUUUACUAUAGGGAAAUAUAGGUAUGGCGAUCUUAUUUUGCCAAAUAUCUCGCGAUGUGUAUAUUGAGUUUUUUUUUUUGGGGGGUCAUUCGGACACCAUGUUAAUCAUUAUCUUUCUAAUUAUCUAAGGCUGGGUAUUGUAUCGUCAUCAAACGCUAGACCAGAAAUAGUCCGUUGCCAUUUCCCCCCCUACUUCCUCGCUAUGCAGAGAAGCACAAUUGGCUCCACUGAGGUGCAGAUGUUUCCUUUAUACACUAGUUAUUUUUCAGUUUCGUCCUACGAACAGAUUGUAGUGUAAAAUAAAAAUAGAUACUUUUUUGGUGCCAUUUAGGCUAAAUGGGAAUCUAAGCUUCACUCCAGUCAAAACAGGCUCUGCGAACGUUCGAUUCCAGUCAUUUGAUAUGGACUCGCGCUAGUUUUAGCUUAGCCAACGUUCUAAAGCCGUUUUCAGCCUUGGGUGAAUUUUGACUCGUUCUUUUGUCCAGCCGAACUAUGCGGAUGUUUAUCUAGUUCCCAAGAGCAGCAGACCGUGGCUGGAGUUGAGUCAGUGUGUUGGCAGCAGCCACACAGAUUCCCAACUGGAUACAGAUCUGUAAUGCACUCCACCACUGCCUGACAGCCUCACCCAGAAGAGCAUACACUGGGCCUAUCAAGACUGACAAUGCAGAGAUGGGUGGGUGACAAGGAAACUGAAAACACAACAUGCACACACACUCCCUCUCUCUGUCACACACAUAACCUCCAAUGUUAAUACAUUGUAGUUUAUUUUAUGUAUGCUCCAUUUUAUUUGAGGAAAAUGUCUGUAAUAAAGUUUGUUUACAGUUAA
This is a long non-coding RNA of Oncorhynchus tshawytscha (Chinook salmon), 2010 nucleotides long. RefSeq lists it as uncharacterized. The transcript has 3 exons. The record is from RefSeq and is a predicted model, not a curated record. Lineage: Eukaryota; Metazoa; Chordata; Actinopteri; Salmoniformes; Salmonidae.